RNAcentral lists this non-coding RNA (26 nucleotides) under Mus musculus (house mouse). The record is from RNAcentral. Lineage: Eukaryota; Metazoa; Chordata; Mammalia; Rodentia; Muridae.
UGGUGAGAUUGAAUGACUGGUGAAAA